RNAcentral lists this ribosomal RNA (328 nucleotides) under uncultured eukaryote. RNAcentral's name for it is "partial 18S ribosomal RNA". It matches the Rfam family "Eukaryotic small subunit ribosomal RNA", at positions 1470 to 1796 of the family's 1831-position model. The record is from RNAcentral.
CCCUUAGAUGUCCUGGGCCGCACGCGCGCUACACUGAUGCAUGCAACGAGUUUAUAACCUUGGCCUGAAAGGUCUGGGUAAUCUUUUGAGCGUGCAUCGUGAUAGGGAUAGAUUAUUGCAAUUGUUAAUCUUGAACGAGGGAUUCCUAGUAAACGCGAGUCAUCAGCUCGCAUUGAUUACGUCCCUGCCCUUUGUACACACCGCCCGUCGCACCUACCGAUUGAAUGGUUCGGUGAAGAUCUCGGACUUCGAUAUUUAUUCUUUAUUGAGUUUAUAUUGUGGGAAGUUAUCUAAACCUCAUCAUUGAGAGGAAGGUGAAGGCGUAACA